AUUUGGCGGACGGGUGAGUAACGCGUGGGAAUCUACCCAGUUCUACGGAAUAACCCAGGGAAACUUGGACUAAUACCGUAUACGCCCUACGGGGGAAAGAUUUAUCGGAAUUGGAUGAGCCCGCGUUAGAUUAGCUAGUUGGUGGGGUAAUGGCCUACCAAGGCGACGAUCUAUAGCUGGUCUGAGAGGAUGAUCAGCCACACUGGGACUGAGACACAGCCCAGACUCCUACGGGAGGCAGCAGUGGGGAAUAUUGGACAAUGGGCGCAAGCCUGAUCCAGCCAUGCCGCGUGAGUGAUGAAGGCCUUAGGGUUGUAAAGCUCUUUCAGUGGGGACGAUAAUGACGGUACCCACAGAAGAAGCCCCGGCUAACUUCGUGCCAGCAGCCGCGGUAAUAC
This 398-nucleotide ribosomal RNA is filed under the name uncultured bacterium. RNAcentral's name for it is "bacterial SSU rRNA". It matches the Rfam family "Bacterial small subunit ribosomal RNA", at positions 93 to 526 of the family's 1533-position model. The record is from RNAcentral.